This 5531-nucleotide long non-coding RNA is filed under the name Gallus gallus (chicken). The record is from RNAcentral. Lineage: Eukaryota; Metazoa; Chordata; Aves; Galliformes; Phasianidae.
AGUGAUUUCAGCUGAAUUCAUCUUCUGUCUCACGAGGCGCGGCGAGGGGGCGCGGGGGCCCCGGGACGGCGGGGGCGGCUGGAGCGGCCGCCGCUGGUGCCCGCCUCUCCCCCCCGCUCUUUGUGUGCGAGGGUCCGCGCGCUGCGCUCUCGCGUGACGUGACGGGACCGUGUGUCAUUUCCGCACAAGGACACCGAGCCCCGAGCCGCCGCGGCCAGCGCCACCCGCCGCCCCGGGGCAGGGGCAGAGGCGGGGGGCGGGGGUGGGAGGGGGGAGCGGGGAGGAGCGGGCCUCUCUUCCCCCGGUCCGCCCCCGCCCGCCCCGCCGGGGGCACGCGCCGCUCCCACCGGAGACCCCGCGCGCGGCCCCGCCACGCGCGCGCCCGCUGCCCGCCCGCGAGACCCGGCCGCACGUGGGCUGGCGCCGAGCACGUGGCCGCGGGGCGCCGCGCGCCGCCGUUGGGCGCCGUUAUCGCGGCCCCCCCCUCCCCCCUCCCCCCGGCUCCCACUUCGGCCCUCGGCCGUCGCCUCGUGGCCGCCCCACGCGGGGCCCCGCGGCGAUCCCCGCGGCCCCGUGCGGGAGGGGAGCGCCGGCAGCGGCCGGGGCCGGCUGCGAGGAGCUGUGAAACGGGAAGCGCUCUCUGUUUUAACGAGUAUCCGUGUCGAUGUUAUCUGUUUUGACAGCGACGCGUGGAACGUCAGUUCGGCGAAUCCUGCGCUUUCCGCUCCGAGCUCGCGGGAAAGCCCCGACGACGAAACCGUACAUAACCGUGAGGAGGACGGCCCCGUCGGGCGGGCUCCGGCCGGCUGCGGCGCGCUGCGCGGCGACCCAAAGCGGCGGCGCUCCGUCGCGGCGGGCAUCGCGCGGCGGCCGCUCCCCGCGCGCAGAUCCCGCGCACGGCGCUGCGCCCUCAUUGUUUCACUUCUCCCACGGCCGAAGGAGCCGAGCGCCGCGUUGCUGCGUUACGCGCGUGUGAAGCGGUUGGGAAAUGACUUUCCAGGAACAAAACCUCUCUCCGAUAAACCCGCUGCCCCACGAGCGCUUCAGCCCUCCCCCGGGUGCUCCCGGUUGCCUUUAGGACUGAGUGAAUCUUGACGAAGUUUGUGGUCCGAGGCGCUGGCAUUAGGAGCGGCUCCCUGACAUCUCUGUUUUCCGUUUGUGGGGCCCCUCUGAGUUUGGGCUGUGGGGUUUGGGACAUCCUCACGGUGCCACGGUGGCCGCGUAAUGCUCGCAAGGCAAUGCUUUGCUGACUUAACGUCGGCUGUGCUUUUAGUUGUUCCGAAGGGACGGCUGUUACAGCAGCCCUUCCCAGCAGAGCUGCCAGCUUCCAGACCGCUCCGACGGACCCCUUAACGAGGAUACGAUUUAUUAACGAGACAAGAAUCUACAGCCAGCAACUCAUCGACCCUUCAGCGAUAAGGGCGCUUCCCGGUAACUUUCCUGGGCCUGUUAGCGCCACGAAGGUGAAGUUUCCGGCGUGGUUCGUCCUCUGCCUUGUUCACAGAGCUAACUGAAGGGUACAGUGCUUUAGCACCUGGCCCGGCUGCCGGGUAGUGCCGUGUCCCACUUGCAUUUCACUUGGGUCCUUUACUUAGUGGGAUUAGGCAGAGGUAACCGUAAGGCAGGAGCGCGCCGCUGGAAUCCCAAACUCCAUUUCAGAGCCCUUGAGAACACACUCGCCGGCCUGAACUCCGCCUCCUUUCUGCUCUGCGGCGCUGGCCCGAGGCACUGCAGCUACCAGGGACCCAAGCCCAGGAGGAGACCCGAAGGGCCUCAGCUAAGCAUAAAGAAUCACAGCGUAUUGCUGCGAUAACAGCACUCGCUGAGAGGGGAGCAGGCCGAGCUGUCUCCAGGCAAUGCAGGGAGCAGCGUAGAUUGGCUUCCUGGCCAGACAGCUCCCGGUUCUUUCACCAUUUGAACUCGUGCUGAACAACUCAUUUAUUCAAAUGUUCGCUUAUUUCCCUUCGUGCCUUUGGCUCAAAAGCCACUCUGUAACACUGCAGCAAUCUCUGGAAAAUUCUGCUGGGAAGGGAUGCUCUGCUACUCCAACACGAGCACUCUUUAGGAAAAAAACACCAUCGCUCCUGAGUGCAAACAGUGUGCCAUCGCUCACCCCGCCAGGCUGAAACAACUUGAGUUGAAAGGGCCCCUAAAGACCAUCAAGCCCUAACCCCAUGCCGUGGGCUGGUUACCACCCCCCCAGCUCAGCUGCCCAGGGCCCCAUCCAACCUGGCCUUGAGCGCCUCCAGGGAUGGGGCACCACAGCUUCUCUGGGCAGCUGUGCCAGCGCCUCACCACCACUGAGCAAAGAAUUCCCUUUGAACAUCUCACCUAAAUCUGCAUUGGUAGACUGGCAGUGAGGGUGCAGGUGGUGUCUCUACUGCAGCAGGCAUGAGUGAGGAGCUGGGGCAGCUCAGUGUGCUGAGGCCACGGCAUGGUACAGUAACGUGGAGAGAGAAUGGCCACAAAUGUAGAGGCCUCUCUGCUUGUCAUGCAUGUUUGGCAUGAAUGAGGACCCAAACCUCCUGCACGGUUCCUUUCUUGAUGAUUGCUGCAAUAUCGUGCAGCACUGGGGAGGCAGUGUUGUGGCAUGUGAUAUUGAAAGUGUUCUCAGUGCUAGUUAUGGCAGUUUGGUUCUGUAUAAUGUACCACUGCAGCACCAGUCAAUCUCUUUUCUCCAGCACACAUCUUAAAUCUAAGCGACCCUGCAGCCAGACCCAAGAGCCAGAAAGCAGAAGAGAAACAGCCUUAGUGUGCAGAGUGAGUUCCUUGCAAGUCAUAUGCAUUUUGCACAAGACCUUACGGUGAAAUCAAGUCCCUUUCUCAUAGGAAGGCAUGCAGGGCCUCCUCUUGCCUGAUGCCUGACUUCCUGCUGCCUGCAGGAGCAGGGCACGCUCUGCUCAACGUGCAGGUGCACUGAGAGAUGGAGCUAGAGGGCACUGCCUGGAGGAUGGGGCCAGUGCUCGCUGCUGGAAGCCAGUACACUGCCAGGGCCAGGAUUGCUCUCUAGUGCUUCCCGUAAGUGCACGGAUGAAGUCAGGAGUCUGCACCGGCCUGCCAGAACUGGACAGGUGCAUGAGAACGUCCCAAAAUGGAAAAAUAAAUCAGUCCACUUAACUCACUGAAUCUACACUAAAAACUGGUCUGUGACUCAACAUUUAUACAAGCCUGAAAUAUUCAGUGGCAAAUAAGGCAAGAGCAUCUGUCACAUGGUGACCCACUUCACACUCCUCAGAACCUUUCACUGCCAGCCAAACUCAAGGGAUGUCCGUGGACAAAUAGCACGUGCCUGCUUAGAGCCCGUGCCAGCCCACAGGCAACAAUGCUGAACAAGUAACGUGCUGCAGGCACUAUCCAGACCAUGCUGCGACUGAGGGGUGGAGAAACUGCAGAAGACACCCGAGCUUCUUUUCUAUUUGCAAACUUUCCAUGGGUGCAAGCAGUGUUGGGGGGCUCUGCCUGUAACAUCCUGCACUGACUGGGAAACACUGGCUUGGAGUGCUAGCUAAUAUAAAUGCAGGUUUUCUUCUCAGAAAUAAAAUUAGUACGUGAUGCUUUUAAAUUCUGUAGCAACACUGCAUCUUGUUCUUAAGUACAACGAUAGCUGCUGUUGGAAGCCAGACUUUGCAAAUACAGGCAAGAAAUACAGUAGUUGUAUUGCUAGUUGAGGAUGUCAAAAUAGAGAAUCCAAAGUCAUAUCAAAACUGUAUUGGAAGAUGGGAGUAAGCCAGAACAGUAGUGGAGCAUCACGAAUAGAGUAACUGACCCAGAGAGCAACUGCAAAUCUCCCUCUGUGCUGCAGCAGUUGAUUCAUACAUCAGUUGCAUCCACAACUGAUUAAAAAUUGACAUGGCUGAGCAAUUUCACUCCUGGAAGUGUGAGCCCCUCUUAACCUCUUGGCAAUGAAAUCGUUACGUAGAGAAAUAAUGCUUUAGGCCUGUUGCGUAGUCUCAUAGCUCAUUAAGAUAUCUGCGUUUAAAUAUUUGCAGCAAUAUGUAAAAAAGAGUAAUAAUUUGGCAAGCAAUGUAGAAAACAGGGUUUCACUGAGAGCUCCUCUGUCUGAUGUGCUGAGUAAUUUAUUUUUAAGCAAAGACUUCUCUUUUUUGUUGUUUUUAAGUGGGAGGAACAGCGUUCGGGUCAAAGAAGCCCUUGUGAAAGGAACCCUCUUUACUUCAGAAGCCGCUCAAGAUCUUCCCUUUUCAUUCUUUGCCCCCAGUGCUAUGGGAGAGCUGUUCAGUGGACAGGAACCUUUCCUUCUGGACGUGCAUUUGUGUGCAUCCCUGCUUCGCAGCUCUUAGAUACUGCAACCCAAACUGCCGCAGCGACUUGGAGAGCAGUCACGUAUUUGGAAAGUGAACGCUUUUUACCAAGCAGAAAAUAAAUCUGCCUUGGAAACUGGAAAAUUUAACCUGUUUGGUUUCUUCUUCUUCCUCUAGAAAUGCAAGGUGAGGGGGCCUGCAUUUCCAAGAACGGAAGAAAUCCCACGUGCUUCAUGAUUAUUACUACAAGAAAAUGUGAUCAAAAGACAUUCCUUUCCAUAAAAGUUUAAGUAAGAAACACCGCCAGUCACUAGCAGCGUGCCUAUUUGUAGCAGCAUCGGUCUUUAAGGAACACUUGAUAUUUGAACUCCAUUUAUUUUCCUGCAAAGAUAUCUUAUCUCAGUGCAUGGGCAUCUAAAAGCCAUUUACAGCUCCUGAGCAGAGAAAGGGAUAAGUCAUAGUUGUUGUAAAUCGGUAUAAAACGUUAACACAUUCACUUCCACAGGUUGACAAAAGCAAUGCCAUUGUUUUAUUAAAAUAAGUCUCAGUAAUGCAGGCGUUUUUCCUUUACUGUUCUCCUGCCAGCGCUCCGCUGUAUUUCCUUUAUGUCGGUGCUGAAAAUAACGACGCGAGCAGCUAAGUGUAAUUGUACGAAAUUAUUGCUAGCGAUUUGCAUAUGAAACACACACCUUUGACUGCCUCCAGUUUGCAUUGUUCGGCUGGGUUAUAAAUAGUACAGCUCGAGUGCUGCAAACAGAAAACAGUUUUCAGCGGGCGCAUGCGAUGAAUGAAGAAGCGCUCCGGCACAAUGUGCAACUUGGAGAGCUUUCAUCAGGAUGGGCCAAGGAGGGAAAAGGCUUUCUCUCCUGAUCGUGCUCCGCUGGAGAGAAGCUGCUCACACCGUGAGCAUCCCGCUCAUCUGCAGAGCAAGGCUUUUCACAACCACUGUUUAUGUUUUUGUGGAGAAAAAAAAACAACACCAUGUAAUCUAAUCUGCAGGCAGUUGUUUCAGAUUCCACUAAUUACUUCUAGAUAACAUUUCCUGUUUGUAAUUUGACAUUUAAUAACUGCUAAAAUAUGAGCACUGCCGUUGAUUCAAGCAAUUCGGUGUAAAUGUCAAAGGCAGAAAAAGGGCUGGUUAUCAGAUGCUGGCUUUGGCGCAAGCAAAAUGCUCACUUCUGCGUGCAAUUAGAAAACGACAACGAAACCGAUCAUUAUUCCACUAACAAAGAGCAUUUUCAUUCCUUGGUAUGUGGGGAAGGAGCAAAGGGA